CUUGGGGAAAUUCCCCGGACAUAAAGACAGAGAGUGUCGAUCCGGAAACGGAUGCCUUUGGCGAGGCCCACUCAUCGUGGCAACGAUGGCACUUUCAUUGCCGGAGUCCUGACGUGUGGCCUUGUGAAAGCUGUCGUAGCAAAGUUAUGCCAUGACUCAAAAACUCAACGGGGAUUACUCCUG
RNAcentral lists this RNase MRP RNA (183 nucleotides) under Amphora coffeiformis. RNAcentral's name for it is "partial RNase MRP". It matches the Rfam family "RNase MRP", at positions 64 to 256 of the family's 266-position model. From Rfam's summary of the family: RNase MRP is an enzymatically active ribonucleoprotein with two distinct roles in eukaryotes. The record is from RNAcentral. Lineage: Eukaryota; Bacillariophyta; Bacillariophyceae; Surirellales; Surirellaceae.